Molecule: long non-coding RNA, 1144 nt
Filed under: Elaeis guineensis (African oil palm)
Lineage: Eukaryota; Viridiplantae; Streptophyta; Magnoliopsida; Arecales; Arecaceae
Description: long non-coding RNA (EGUI_LNC028211)
Source: RNAcentral
GAGAUUGAUGAAGUAGCUGAAUAUUUUUCCAUAUAUUUGUAUUUUGAUGACCUUUUUUAUAGAAUGGUUCAUUACAAAUACUAGCUAACCUUAUUGGAAGGACCAUGCAGUAAACUGGAAAAUGAUGAUUGAGACAAGGAACACAUUUCAAGAACAGGAUACUCCCAACUCCCAAGCUUUCUGAUCUAAAUCUCACUCAUGGAACAGUUGGAAGAUUUGGUGCUUCAUUAAUGUGCUUAGUUUGUGUUUGUGCACAUCAAGAAAGAAGUCUGAAAUAAAAGCAUUGAGUGCAUAUACAUUGGCCAUUAUCAGUAUGUCAAAGUGUAAAUGCUCUAGAAUUUCACCCCCAUGGAGGUGGUUCUUAGUAAGAUCAGGAAUUAUGAUGCAAAAUUGCAGGAUUGAAGAAACAAGAAAGUCAAGGGCAUGGCAUGAGCCACUAUUUUCAGGAGAACAUGUUUAAUCCUCCAUUAGUCCCACUUUAGUCACCUUCCUCGCUAAGUCACCCUCAACCAUUUUUCACACAUAAAUUUGAAGAGAUUAUCUACCUUUAUCUCAUUUGCCUAAAUGGUUGAUGAAUUUGUGAUUUGGACUGAUGUGAUUAUUAAUAUGAUUCAUAUAUGUUCUUUUGAUUAUUAUGUUUCAGUUAGGUUUAAUAAAGCCACCUAAGAUGCAAACUGCAUGAUAGCUAUAAACAUAAUCAUGUAAAGAUCAAAUGGUUGAGAACAAUAAGAGGAGUGACACAAAGGCUAUGCUAAACUCUCUAAGGAACAAGGCUUCUGGUGUAAAGUGGGCAGAUACAUGAAAGAAGAACCAAACUACUCUUUGGGAUAAUUAUUGGAAAUUAACUAAUUGUCUCUCUAUACAAUGUUUUGGAAAGCUAUGCAUAAGAGGAUCACUAUAGAUGGUUGGGGAAAUCAAUUAAAGGUGCAAUAACAACUACAACAGUUGCGUGGUUACUAAUAAUGAUGCAACUCAUGCACUUUUUGAUGAUGAAUAUGACAACCAGUCUGGAAUUUUACAAUCUGAUGAUUGAUUCCGCCAAAAUCUCCUUUUGAGGAUUUCUAUUCUUCAUAUUCAUGUUACAAUAUCAGCAAUAUCAAGCUUUGAUGUGCUCUGAUUGAUGUCAGUUUAUAGAUGAUCGGGA